RNAcentral lists this long non-coding RNA (2098 nucleotides) under Taeniopygia guttata (zebra finch). RNAcentral's name for it is "lncRNA (ENSTGUG00000021752.1)". The record is from RNAcentral. Lineage: Eukaryota; Metazoa; Chordata; Aves; Passeriformes; Estrildidae.
GUGACACGGGGUGUCAGCGGUGACACCGUGGGGGUGGCGGGGACGCGGUGACGGUGACACCCUGGUGGUGACAGUGAUGGUGACACAACAGUGACCGUGACCCCGGGUGACCCCUGGGUGACCCCUGGGUGACCCCAAUGACCUCUGGGUGACCCCUAGAUGACCUCUGGGUAACCCCAAUGACCCCUGAGUGACCCCAGUGACCCCUGAGUGACCCCAAUGACCUCUGGGUGACCCUUGACUGACCCCAAUGACCCUUGAAUGACCCCUGAGUGACCCCAGUGACCCCUGGGUGACCCCAAUGACCCCUGAGUGACCCCAAUGAGUGACCCCAAUGACCCCCGGGUGACCCCUGUAUAACCCCCGGCUGUUCCCCGGCUGUUCCCCCUCCCCCCGCUGCCCAGGUGCUGUUGGCCCUGCCCGGGGCGGCUGUUCCCGUGUCCCUCCCCCCGCGGCCGCUGCCGGGAGAGCUGCGAGUGCGCCUGAGACCGGUCAGACUGUACUGGUUUAUACUGGGAGGGACUGGGGGGGACUGGUUUAUACUGGGAGGGGAUGGGGAGGGACUGGGGGGGACUGGGAGGGACUGGGAGGGGCUGGGAGGGGACUGGUUUAUACUGGGAGGGACUGGGGGGGAACUGGGACCGAACUGGGGGGAACUGGUUUAUAGUGGGAGUCAAACUGGGAGCACUGGGAGGGGCUGGGAGGGACUGGUUUAUACUGGGAGGGGAUUGGGGGGGAACUGGGACAUACUGGGAGGGAACUGGGACAAACUGGGAUGAACUGGGAUUGACUGAGAGGGAACUGGGAGGGAGCUGCCACAUACUGGUUUAUACUGGGAUGGAACUGGGAGGGAACUGGGGGGAACUGGUUUAUACUGGGAGUCAAACUGGGAGCACUGGGAGGGAACUGGGAGGGACUGGGAUGGACAACCACUGGUCCAUACUGGUUUAUACUGGUUUAUACUGGUCUAUACUGGUUUAUAAUGGUCUAUACUGGUCCGUACUGGUUUAUACUGGUCUGUACUGGUUUAUACUGGUCCGUACUGGUUUCCAGCCCCAGGAACUGGUGCUGGAAUGGGAACCCCUGGAGGGGAACUGGGAACUCCCCGAGGAGACGGAGCCGCCCGACCCCGGCUUUGAGCCCGACUGGGCCGUGCUGAGCCCCCCCCGGCCCCGCCCCGGUACCACAGUGCAGGGGGAAUUUGGGAAUUUGGGACAAAUUGGGGAAAUUUUGGGGAUCUGGGGGAGUUUUGGGGGAAAUUUGGGGAAAAUUUGGGGGAAAUUUGGGGUAAAUUUGGGGGAAAAUUUGGGAAAAUUGGGGGAAUUUUGGGGGAAAAUUUGGGGAAAAUUUGGGGAAAAUUUGGGAAUUUUGGGGAAAUUGUGGAGAAAAUUUGGGGAAAAUUCAGGAAUUUUGGGGGAAAUUUGGGGAAAAAUUUAGGAAAUUUUGGGGGGAAUUCUGGGGGAAAUUUGGGGGGAAUUUGGGGAAAUUUGGGAAAUAUUUGGGGAAUUUUGGGCGAAAUUCGGGGUAAAUUUAGUGAAAAUUUGGGAAUUUGGGGGGAAUUUGGGGAAAUUUGGGACAUUUUGGGGAUUUGGGGGAAAAUUUGGGAAAACUGGGGGAAUUUUUUGGGAAAUUUGGGGAAAAUUUGGGGAAAUUUGGGGAAUUUUGGGGAUUUGGGGGAAUUUUUGGGGAAAUUUGGGGUAAAUUUGGGGAAAAUUUGGGGGGAAUGUCAGGGAAAAUUGGGGAAUUCUGGGGAAAUUUGGGGAUUUGGGGGGAAUGUUGGGGAAAAUUUGGAGAAAAUUUGGGGAAAAUUUGGGGAAUUUUGGGGAUUUGGGGGAAUUUUUGGGGAAAUUUGGGGGGAAUGUCAGGGAAAAUUGGGGAAUUUUGGGGAUUUGGGGGGAAUUUUUGGGAAAUUUUGCGGAUUUUGGUGGAAAUUUGGGAAAAUGUGGGAAAAAUUGGGGGACAUUUGGGGGGAUUUUGGGGGAAUUUCUGGGAAAAUUGGGGAAUUUGGGGAAAAUUUGGGGAUUUGGGGGGAAUUUUGGGAAUUUGGGGGACUUUUGGGGUAAAUUAUGGGAAAAUUUAGGGGAUUUGGGGGGAAUUU